GUGGGGAAUUUUGGACAAUGGGGGCAACCCUGAUCCAGCCAUGCCGCGUGUGUGAAGAAGGCCUUCGGGUUGUAAAGCACUUUCGGACGGAACGAAAUCGCACGGGUGAAUAUCCCGUGUGGAUGACGGUACUGUAAGAAGAAGCACCGGCUAACUACGUGCCAGCAGCCGCGGUAAUACGUAGGGUGCGAGCGUUAAUCGGAAUUACUGGGCGUAAAGCGUGCGCAGGCGGCUUCGCAAGUCAGACGUGAAAUCCCCGGGCUUAACCUGGGAAUGGCGUUUGAAACUACGGAGCUGGAGUGUGGCAGAGGGGGGUAGAAUUCCACGUGUAGCGGUGAAAUGCGUAGAUAUGUGGAGGAAUACCGAUGGCGAAGGCAGCCCCCUGGGCCAACACUGACGCUCAUGCACGAAAGCGUGGGGAGCAAACAGGAUUAGAUACCCUUGUAGUCC
This 450-nucleotide ribosomal RNA is filed under the name uncultured bacterium. RNAcentral describes it as "bacterial SSU rRNA". It matches the Rfam family "Bacterial small subunit ribosomal RNA", at positions 354 to 796 of the family's 1533-position model. The record is from RNAcentral.